GACGAACGCUGGCGGCGUGCUUAACACAUGCAAGUCGAACGGAAAGGCCCUGCUUGCAGGGUACUCGAGUGGCGAACGGGUGAGUAACACGUGGGUGAUCUGCCCUGCACUUCGGGAUAAGCCUGGGAAACUGGGUCUAAUACCGGCUAGGAGCCAUUUUUAGUGUGAUGGUUGGAAAGUUUUUUCGGUGUAGGAUGAGGUCGCGGCCUAUCAGCUUGUUGGUGGGGUAAUGGCCUACCAAGGCGGCGACGGGUAGCCGGCCUGAGAGGGUGGACGGCCACAUUGGGACUGAGAUGCGGCCCAGACUCCGACGGGAGGCAGAAGUGGGGAAGAUUGCACAAUGGGCGCAAGCCUGAUGCAGCGACGCCGCGGGGGGGAGGACGGCCUUCGGGUUGUAGACUACUUUCGCUAGGGACGAAGCUUUUUGUGACGGUACCUAGAGAAGAAGCACCGGCUAACUACGUG
Molecule: ribosomal RNA, 465 nt
Filed under: uncultured bacterium
Lineage: Bacteria
Description: partial 16S ribosomal RNA
Rfam family: Bacterial small subunit ribosomal RNA
Source: RNAcentral